GGGGCUCAAACUCAUGACCCCAAGAUCAAGAGUCACAUGUUUCACUGACUAAGCCAGGCCAGGAGUCUUAAAAGACAAUUUUUAAUGUAAAGUUUUCGUGUAAUGUCAGAUUGUUCUUAAACGUUUGCUAUUUAUAAUUCUGUAAACAUUUGUCCAUAUCAUUAUAUAUUUUUUGCAACAUGUUAAGUUUGAUGCAUAUUAUUCUGUUAUACAAGUAUUUUCUAAAAACAAAUCCCAUAUUAUUGAAUGAGGUUUGUGGUGUAGGAGUUAAGCAUAAGUUUUGGAUUGGGUAACUGAAUUGGAAUCACAACUCUCCUACUAACUUGUUAUAUGACCUUGGGAAGUUACUUAGUCUCUGAAUUUCAGUUUCUUCACCCGUAAAAUGAAUAGUGCUUAACUCCUAAGAUUGGGUCGAAGAGUAGGUGGAAUCCAAGGCUUUUGACAAAACUAGCUUUUAGAAGGUGGCAUGCUAUUAGCAGUGUGCAAGAGUGCUUGUUUCCCUGCACUGUCACCAACACAGGUGUUAUCCAGGUUGACAAUGCACUACCUCAUUUGAUUUAGUUUUUUAAAAUAAACUAAACUGCCUCCAUUACUAUAAUUAGAAACUUUAUUGUGUUUUAAUUAAUAUGCAGAAUAUUUUUAAUAUUAAAAAACUGAUUUUUAAAAUUCUAUUUUAAAAGUAUUUAUUAUAACUUUAUAAUAAAAAAGUUUAAUGCUUAAUGCUUCUUUUUAGAAGAUACUAGAUUAUACUUUGCUGCCUCAGUGUCUUCUUUCAUAAUAUAUCAUCAUGAAUUGCUGCUCUGAAAACCUGACUGUAUAACCUUAAGGGGAAUCGGAACAAUCUGUGUAGAAAUAACCUACUCGACAAUAAUCGGAGGUGUUCUGUUGGGUCGUUUUCUGUGUCUUCCUACAAGUCCGAGCGAUUGCACAUAAGGACAAGCUGAGUUAGAGGAGGAAUAAUAACAUCCAUUGAAGGGUCCAGUGUACAAGAGAGUUUGGAGGAAGCAUGAUCCUGAAGAAUUCUGUGGUCUGCUACCUAAAAGAGGUUUAGACACACUAGAUAAGUUCACCCUAGUAGAGGAAGUCCAGACUGACAUGAAAGUGAAAAUAUUUGAUACAACCCGAACCUACUAACGAUGUGAAGUCCAUCAUGGGGACAGCAAACCAUACCUGCACAUAUAAAGGCAUCUAUACCAGCAAGUAAGGCUACCUAUUUCCAUUUAUCAAAUUGAUUCAUCUAAUACAUACUGAAUAAAAGAGGGGCCAACAUCAACAAAAUUCUUGCCCAGUUGGAGCCUACAUUCUAAUGGAGGAUACAGACAAUAAAUAAACAAUGCAGUUUCAUACAAUGGUAACUUUUCUUGGUAAAAGCAAAUACUGGCUGAUUUUGGAAAAGUUUUUGGAAAGGUUAACCAACUGUCUCUGUGUAAACCCAACUGCCAAGUUCAUGUAUCCUUUACUACUGUAAGAUGUUUUUCCUGAGGUAUUCAAGUAAAACCUGCAGGGGUUUCUUAAGACCUGGCAUUUCAUCUGUUCCAUACCAGUUUUCUCAAAUUUUGUGGGAUAAUCACUUUACAGCCUCUGUGCCUAUGAUCCACCUCUAGCCUUAAUGCCAUGUUCUGGCCAACAUACCAGAAUAACCCACGACUAUUGAGUCUCGAGUUGACUCCAGAAUCUUUGUAUGAGAGUAUUUUAGGGAUGGUAGUUUCAUUAAAGUGUGGUUAGGAGACUUGUCUUAAAGCUCUGUUUGAAUAGCAAGAACACUGCCUAGAGUAAUGCUUGGGAGGUAAGUACCUGGUAGGUACUCAACAGGUAUUUUUAAAUAAAUUAAUGAUUAUUUUUAUCAUUGCCAUAAAAUCGUGAUUGAGAAACUUAAGCCUACUGUUGGAUGUUCAAAAAAAAAGGUUGGAUAGUCAGCAAAACUAGAUGAGCAGCACUCAUCAUAGCAUUUUUCUUGAUGUACUUUUCUUCUUUCUAGAUAUACCACAUAUCAAAGAAGCCCCACAACCAAACUUACAUUGGCUAAGAAGAUUGGGAUAUCACUAUGACAACAUUUCCAGGAGAAGAAAGGGUUACGAUACAGAGGAAAUCUGGUUUCAGAACAAUGGGGGAACUAAUAAUAUAGAAUACUGGUUAAAAGUAUGGGUUCUGGAGUCAGACAAGUCUGAGUUUUAAUCCUGCCUGCCACUUGUUAGCUGGGUAACCCUGGACUACCAGCCAGUUGCUCUAAUUUGCAGUUUCAGCAACUACAAAAUAAGGAAUGUAAUGUCUUCCUCAUAGCAUAUAGAUGAAAUGAACUAAUAAGGUAAAGCAUCUGCACAGUGCCUGCUGCCAAAGUGUUCAAUAAAUGCUAGCAGUUAAUAUUAUCAAACGGAUGUUAUUAUAUAUUCCCAGAUAUUCUAUAAUGGAAAUACAGAGAUUUUAAGUUUUAAUGGCAUUUAAGAUUACAGUAUGGUUAUAGUGUACUAAAGAAUACUUUUUACAAUGAGAACAAAUUGCCACAUGAUUUACUUCCUAUUUUUACUUUUGGUUUCCACUGAUGAAUUAUUAUACAUUUCUGCAAAUUUCAAGUAUUACUGCCUAAGCCUUUUAUUUAUAAAAAGUAUUAAUUUAUUUAUUAAUACAUAUAUAUAUAUAAUUUUGGAUAAUGCAUAAAUAUGAACACCUACAUCUUUAGUAGUGACUAUUUUUAAAAAUCUCAUAUCUCUUCUCCCACUUUGGUUUCUUUUAUACCCAUUUCCUUGAUAACCCAUGUCAACAGCCUAAUAUGUAUCCAUCCAUUUUCUAAUUUAUUUUGUUGGUUUGUUUUUUACUUUAGAAAGAUAGAAAGAGAGAGAGAGAGAGAGCACCAGUGGGGGACAGGGGCAGAGGGAGAGAGAGAGAGAAUCUUCAACAGGCUCCACAAACUGCAAUGCUCAACACGGGGCUCAGUCCCACAACCCUUGGAUGAUAACCUGAGAUGAAAUCAAGAGUUGGACACUCGACCAAGAGAACCAGCCAGGCGCUCCACUCUUCAUUUAUAAUUCUAUGGAGACUUAUUCGUAAUAUAUUUAUAUACAUAUAAAAAUACGGUGUUAUUUUGAUCAUCAACUUUAAAAAUGGGACCAUGUUCUCAAGCGUGUUACUUUUCUCACCCAACAAUAUCCAGAGGAAAGAUCUUCAAUUCAUUUGAGUUUAAUAGUACAAUAUUCCAUAAUUUAGAUGUAACAUUAUCUAUGUAGCAUUUCCUCAAUUAUUGAGCGUUCCUUUUGUUUCCAUUUUUUGGCACUACAAAUUAGGCUACAAUAAACAUCCUUAUAUAUCUUUA
Long non-coding RNA from Felis catus (domestic cat), 3307 nucleotides. RefSeq lists it as uncharacterized. NCBI's taxonomy places the organism in Eukaryota, Metazoa, Chordata, Mammalia, Carnivora, Felidae. The record is from RefSeq and is a predicted model, not a curated record. The transcript is spliced from 3 exons.